RNAcentral lists this transfer RNA (73 nucleotides) under Salix viminalis (osier). The stretch from base 8 to 65 matches the Rfam family "tRNA", at positions 8 to 63 of the family's 71-position model. From Rfam's summary of the family: Transfer RNA (tRNA) molecules are approximately 80 nucleotides in length. Their secondary structure includes four short double-helical elements and three loops (D, anti-codon, and T loops). Further hydrogen bonds mediate the characteristic L-shaped molecular structure. tRNAs have two regions of fundamental functional importance: the anti-codon, which is responsible for specific mRNA codon recognition, and the 3' end, to which the tRNAs corresponding amino acid is attached (by aminoacyl-tRNA synthetases). tRNAs cope with the degeneracy of the genetic code in two manners: having more than one tRNA (with a specific anti-codon) for a particular amino acid; and 'wobble' base-pairing, i.e. permitting non-standard base-pairing at the 3rd anti-codon position. Lineage: Eukaryota; Viridiplantae; Streptophyta; Magnoliopsida; Malpighiales; Salicaceae. The record is from RNAcentral.
GCCCGUCUAGCUGAGUUGGUAGAGCGCAAGGCUCUUAACCUUGUGGUCGUGGGUUCGAGCCCCUUCACUAUUC